AGCGGCGGACGGGUGAGUAACGCGUGGGCAACCUGCCCUGUACACACGGAUAACAUACCGAAAGGUAUGCUAAUACGAGAUAAUAUGCUUUUAUCGCAUGGUAGAAGUAUCAAAGCUUUUGCGGUACAGGAUGGACCCGCGUCUGAUUAGCUAGUUGGCAAGGUAACGGCUUACCAAGGCGACGAUCAGUAGCCGACCUGAGAGGGUGAUCGGCCACAUUGGAACUGAGACACGGUCCAAACUCCUACGGGAGGCAGCAGUGGGGAAUAUUGCACAAUGGGCGAAAGCCUGAUGCAGCAACGCCGCGUGAGCGAUGAAGGCCUUCGGGUCGUAAAGCUCUGUCCUCAAGGAAGAUAAUGACGGUACUUGAGGAGGAAGCCCCGGCUAACUACGUGCCAGCAGCCGCGGUAAUACGUAGGGGGCUAGCGUUAUCCGGAAUUACUGGGCGUAAAGGGUGCGUAGGUGGUUUCUUAAGUCAGAGGUGAAAGGCUACGGCUCAACCGUAGUAAGCCUUUGAAACUGGGAAACUUGAGUGCAGGAGAGGAGAGUGGAAUUCCUAGUGUAGCGGUGAAAUGCGUAGAUAUUAGGAGGAACACCAGUUGCGAAGGCGGCUCUCUGGACUGUAACUGACACUGAGGCACGAAAGCGUGGGGAGCAAACAGGAUUAGAUACCCUGGUAGUCCACGCCGUAAACGAUGAGUACUAGCUGU
RNAcentral lists this ribosomal RNA (710 nucleotides) under uncultured bacterium. RNAcentral's name for it is "bacterial SSU rRNA". It matches the Rfam family "Bacterial small subunit ribosomal RNA", at positions 94 to 823 of the family's 1533-position model. The record is from RNAcentral.